Long non-coding RNA from Cynoglossus semilaevis (tongue sole), 8186 nucleotides. RefSeq lists it as uncharacterized. Lineage: Eukaryota; Metazoa; Chordata; Actinopteri; Pleuronectiformes; Cynoglossidae. The transcript has 2 exons. The record is from RefSeq and is a predicted model, not a curated record.
UUCGGCAUGAGGCUUUAAUUUUUGGGGAUUUUCUUCUUUUUUCUCUUUAAUGUUUUAAGAGCAUGCAAGUCCUUGAUCAAACAUAAUAAUUCCUUUUUUUUUAAAGUUUAUUUUAACACGAUAUGUAUUUUUAGAAUUUCUGCGUGUCAUGUUUAACAACUGCAUUUCUGGUAUUUUUCUUGGGAAAGUACCAUUAAAUGUAACAAUUCUGCAGAAGUUACGUCCCAUUAAGUUCCCUUUUUUCGCAUUUGGAAACCUUUUUUAAUCUCUCCCUUGAUACUCAACUAGUAUACAAUUAUGACAUGGGACAUUGAUAAAAACUGCGAGUAAGACAUUCAGUUAUCUUUUGUCCUCACAAAAAAUGACUUUGUCAACCGUGGGCUAUAUUGUAUAGCACUGUUAUCAUCAAUCAAACAAAAUAAAUUAAAAAAAAAGGCUUUACUACGGUAAUACAAACAUAUUCUACAUACUGUAGUGUUUCCUGUCAAAUGGGAAAAACCAUUAGCUUAAUUUAGUUCAAUGCAAAUAAAAUUAAAAGUGGAAUCAUUUUACUAAGACACUUACGCUGAACCAUAACAUAGACCAGGGGUCACCAACCUUUUAGAAACUGAGCGCUACUUCAAGUGCACUUAGUAAUACCAAGAGCUACUUGUUUGAUAUAGACUUCCUGUUCUGGGACAUACAACUGUAGACACUCUUCUUACCAUCUGAAUAUCACUGCAAGUGGAGCUGAUUCAAAAAGCACAGUAACAGUACAAUUUUUGACCCUCUUGUUGACUAGUUUUAUAUUUAGAACAUAACCUAAGGUAGUCCACAGGGUCUACCAGGUCCCUCUGGACACCAUGUUGAUGACCCCUGCCAUAGACCUAACAUAAAACUGGCUGUAACGCUAUGCUGGCAAAAGACAUUUGCGUUCUAAAAACGUUAUAGAACAAUUUUGUGAAUUCCUCCUUCAUCAAAAUAAAUAAAUAAAAUAGCCAAUAUAUUAAAUCAUUGAUCAUGUGCUGUAUACAGGCUGAGAUCAUAUCUGUUUUGUUAGUUUUAUGGGGUUUUUUUCCCCUGCUGACUGGUCAUGACACAGGGGCAUAGGUUCAAAAUAUUUCCUUCGUCCAUUAAAAUGGAAUUUCAUUUUUGUUUGUCGCCUGCUCCUCUUAAAACUUCUCAUCAGCCUCACACGUAAUACUUCCCAACGCCUCAUAGGUCACAGGAUAAAACGCCUCUCUUGGGCGGAUGUCCAGCGAUUGGACAGCCUUCUCUGUAUCCGCCCAUUUUUCCCCCCUCGACUGGGAUCUGAGCUCUCAUUGGUCCGUGCGACCGAUCGUGGCUGUGCGUCUAUAGCAGGACAUCAGCGAUGACUUUUCCGGCUUGCUUCUGAUUGGUCGGUGCCUUGUUCUGACAUCAGAGUCCUGCCAGCUGAUCGGAGUGAGAAGCCGGUUUGAAGAGAGGAGUUGGACCAGAAAGAGAGACGGAUAGAGAGAGGGAGAGGGAGAUCGGGAAGGGAGUCCUCGGGAGCCAGAGACAGCGCCUGGUCGGAGAAGCCAGCUGGAUAAUCAGAACGUUUUGGUCUGGUUUCCUGUAGAAAUUGCUUGAUGGGCAAAGAGCCGCAGUGUAGUCAGGGGGAACUUGGGCGCCUCGUCGAAAUCUCUGGAAGUGUCAGGAAAAAAUGAUUGAGAGUUAAGGUGUGGCUGAGCGUCUGUGUCACGCUUCUGAAGAAAAAAAAUUCUUACCAAAAGCCGUCGUUUCUCCUCGUCGGUGAGCAGUCAGGAUAUGAGUCUUAGCUGAACCAGUGGCUUUACGGUCUUUUUACUCGGUGACGAUAUUACAUAACAGAUGUCUUGUCAUCUUGAUGGGCUGAAUCAUCCGUUAUAGACCAGGGUGAUGGGACUUUUGCGCACUGGAAGAAUGAGGUCGAUUAUUGGUUUCCCUUUUUUUUGUCCGGGUUGAUAUUUGGUUCGGUUUUAGGAGGUGUGUGUGUGUGUGUGCGUGCGUGCGUGUGUGAAUGUAAAGGACGUGGCAACUUUACAGUAGCCUGCUCUGCCGAAUGCCACAGACAAACUGGGCGUGGGGUAGAAGAGUGUGAACAUAACCUAAUGAUAAUCCUCAGAUCUGAGCCUCAAACUACGCGUAAUUGGCACAGCGAGCAGCGCCGGCGGAGCCUGUGGAUCCAUCUCAGUCUAAGUAAGUACGACUGUCCAUAUCCCUUCUGAAAACUUUCUUAAAAAAAAAAAAAAAAUAGAGCCAACACGAGUCAGGAAGCGAUAGGUUUGGAGGCUAAGGCGUUCAAUUUCUUUCUUUAAUUUAUAUAAAUUUUUAAAACUACCUAAUAGAAGCUGCAAUAGCGCGACAGCGUGUACAUGGAGCUAUCCAGGCCUGUAUACGAUCUAUAUAAUCCUGACUGCGAUACAGCCUGGAUAUGAUGGGGAGGGUGUGUCGCCUUUGCCAGGCAGGCAGGCUCUUAGGGCGUUGAAUGAAUCUAAAUACAGCAGGGAGAGAAGGGAGGAAGGGAGGAAGGAAGGAAAUAAAGAAGGAAGGAAGGUAAGCGCAUGAAGAGUUGGUGUCUACAGCAGUAGUGUGUAUGUGCGUGCGUGUGCGUGCGACUUGUCAAAGAACCAUCCGAGCACUCAUUGUGUGGUGAUGAGACGCGUUUUAACUCAAUCAUAAUUGAGUGCGCCGUCACACUGACCCGUUCUGCAGCCUAAUUAAGAUAAGCUCUCAAAGUCCAGAGAAAAGCAGAUAGAAAGAAUUCCUUAAGGCCCCACCCUUUGCAGCGCAACAUGAAUGUGGAGAGUUGCGCCCCCCCCUCUCUCUUCUUUUCCCUAUGUCUCUCUCUCGCCCUCUCUCUCUUUCCCCGCGUCAUUAAUUUCCCCUUUCAGGCCUGUCUUAUGUCCUUUUUCCACAAUUCAGUUCAUCCCAAUGCCUAGGUUUUUUUUAAAUUUUCUUUACUUACUAACUUUAACACUGUCAUGAUCUGCCACCAGGACUCCCACAGGUAAGAGUUGACUUUUUAUAAAUAAAAAAUAAAAAUAGGAAGUUCAUUCAAGUGGGUAGUUUAAAUGUCAAGUGUUAUUUAACUUGUUUUUAUUGCUUAUCUUUUUUUUUUUGUUUUUUAAACAUGUCAGCAAGGUUGCUGCUCCGCUCUUAUCAACCUGUUGCCAACUUAAACAGACUAUGUAAACUGUCACUCACCUUGCAGCGUAUUUCCUAUGGGUUGUUAAGUAUGUAAAUGCAUCGUACAGCAAUGUCAAACAUUUUUGCCGUGCAGUCUCUUUAAAAAGAAUUCCGCAUUAGCUAGCCACCCCGCUAACAUUAGUCAGAUUACUGUAUACAUACUUGGGUUCAAAGCUCAUUCUUCUUUUUUUUUUUUUUUUUUUUAGAGAAAGCAGAUUUUUAUCUGCAAAAUGAAAGCAAAGAUGUGGUCUCUACUGAUGAUUUAAGGUUUGAUUUUUGCACACAUGUAGCAGAUGCUGUUUCCCACAUGGACCGUAGGUUCGUGAGAGAUUCAUUUAGUGGGUUUUUGCUUGUGAAAAGUAAAGCCGUGGCCUUAUCACGCUGCACUCUCUAGGCCAGUCACGCACUGGACAAAACCAGCCACAUACCAUUCACUCCAAGCUUCCCAUGUUGCAUGUACACUCCCUAUGAGUGGCCGGUCUGCUCUCAUAUUGUCAUGUUAUGAACAGUGAAUUAUACAUGAUGCUGCAGGACAGUCAGUCUGCUCUGAUCUGCUUCAUCAGGAUGUAGGCAUCUAGAAUGUCUGUCUAAAAAUCAAUUUUUUGUAAAUUUUUGUGAAUUGAGAAUUAACCUCUGUUGCGUCUCUGCAGCCACCCCACCCACAUUCCAUGUAGGAAGUGCUAUGUUGAAACUAGUUUUCCGAAUACAGUAUAUAAAGUGUGAUAACGUGUUCAUAAGAACUCGGUGGUUUUGCGUACAAUGGCACAUUGUGUGAUUUUUUUUUUUUUCUUUUAAAGAAUAGUGCCCAGAAGAGGCUGCGGACUAUUUGCAACAAUGUACUUGAGUGUGAUAGUGAACCUAAUGCAUGUCCUAACUUAAUUCCAUCCAAGCAGUGUUAAGAGGCCGUGAUCAACUAUGUCCUCAAGUGCCACGUUAUUGAAAAUUAUAAUAAUUUUGCACUUUUUUUUUUUAGAGAAUAAUGACUGUGUAUCACCGCAUUGCUAAUUACAAGUUUCUUCUGAUUUUUUUUAUUUUAUACUCCUUUCUUUCUUUCCUUUGUCAUCUCCCCUUAGUCUGCUCGGUGAUUAUAUUUUUCCAUGCUGGACAAACCUGUGCAUGUGUAUUAUCUCUGCGUGGACAGAUGUGAUUAAUACAGACGUUCAGCAGUGACGUCUGUGGUGCCACUCCCCAGACGCAGACACGAACAUAAAGAGCAUGGAGCAGGGCAGAAUGAUGGAAAUGUUGUGUGGUUUUUAUCCAUUCAAUGUCAAAAUGCUUCAGUCUUUGUUCCAGAGCUUUUCCCUGUUGUUUGGAGCAGCAUGGGGGUUCGCCGAGUUCCUGGAGGUUGCUGGGUUCGCUGAGCCGCUGAGAACUGGUUUGCCCAAAAUCCUGUCCUUGAACUGGGCGAGAAAAAAAGAAGAAAUGCUGCUAGGGGAAGGCUUUUCAGAGCGACUGACUGCAAUAGUUGAAGCUCAUCCAGCUGACUGAAGUCCAGGCGAGACAAAUCUUCGGCUACUCUUAAGAAUUAUACAGUGGCAGACUGAAAAAGACACGUAGGACCUCAUAUCAUAUCAUGGGCUUUUCUUGUCGUCGCACAUGAUUAAGCAGUGGUUAGAUUUUCAAUACUGUUUAACAGCACAGAACGUAAUCCCGGUUUAGUUGCUCUGACGUUUACAUUAAAAAAAAGACACUCAUUUGCAAAUGAGGUUUUUUUUUUCUCAAGGUAAAAUAACAAAAUGCUUGACAUGUUAGUAAAGCAGUAACACGCCCCGGGGAGUAGCUGAGCCUAAAUAGCAAGAAAAAUAUCUCUUUCAGGCCUCUAUGGCUGCUGUAAAGUGAACUGCCCCACAGGACAAGAACUGUUUUCUAUCAGCAGUUCCAGGCUGAAACCAGAGGCCAAGAUAUUUAGCGAGCAAAUACCUCUGCAUUCAAUUAGAAGCAGAGGCAGAGAGAAUGCUAAAACAGUAGGCUGGCAUGUCUGAUGAAGACUCCAUGCUGGUGCGCACACGCAACUUGUUUGUUUAAGUGUGCAUGCACAUUUAAACACUUAGUAAAGUUCAGCUUUCUUAAAUGAGGACAAAAGAAUGUCGUAAACCCCCCCCCCCCCUUGUAUCGUUCCGCUUUUAUUUUUCUCUCUUAUUCACCAUAACAAAAGUUUCUUUAAGCUACGACUGAAGGUAGCAUCUGCACUGGUGUAGUUGUACUUCUGAGAACUUUUUUUUCAAAAUCACAUUGAAUUUCCAUUGCUUCCUUCCAUUUUUGUCCACUAGAAGGCACUCCAACCAAAUAUGUAACAAGUUUUACCAACGCAAUAUAAAACUUGAGGGAAAUCUAAAUAUUAUAGUGAGCAGCUGGUGGGGGCAAAAACGCAAUUUUUCUUGCUUGAUUCAAGCAAGGUCUUCGUCCGCCGCUAACAGUUCUGCAUACGAUUGAAUGAACUCAGUCAUAGUUGAGUGGUACUUUAAUGAUGCCUUGCAUAGUCUGCAAAUAACUGUUUCUCUUUGUUAUUUCAUCACAUUUUUUUUUGGUUUGUUUUUUUUUUUUGGAAAUCCAAACACUUUUUAGGUUUCGAGGAGUUGAGAUUUCCUGCUGGUGCGCUGCUUUGCGCCAUCUUGUAAUGUAAAAAUACCGUUGAUGCAUAAGUUGCAAGUUCGAAAGUCACUUCCCGCAUUCGAAUGUUCUCAUUUUUAAAAUAAUUUAUAUUCUAUUCGAAUAGCCAAAAUAAAAGCAAUGAAAAAUUUCCUAAAGAUAAAACAUGAGCAAUGGUUGCUUUAUUUUUUUGUACUUAAUGUUAGCGGACGUUUUUAAAGAUGUCUUUGCUUGAUUGACAGGUGUCCGAUGUCAUGAUCGUAUUUUCCAGCAGGUGGUGUCUCUACAGUGAGGUGAGAUGCUCGUUGGCUAACCUACAGCAGUUCUUCACUGGCAAGCUUUAUGUGUUCCUGUACCAACUAAAGCUGCCAGCUGAAGAACUGUUGUGGUGAGCUCUUUCCUGCACCGGAGACUGAACUGUCGCUUUUUUGUGGCACACACACACACACACACACACGCACACAGACGGUGGACAAACAUCACGUCAAACCUCUUUGGCCUUUUCCCAAAUCCAGUCCCUCACUUGUCACUUGUGCAGCACGUUCAUGAGCUCGUGUUCAUACCAUGACACCUGCUGCUUCAUGUAACAAACCCAUUGCAUCAUGGAACCUGUUCAUUAGAGAGAGCUUAGCCUUAUGACAACUGCAUUUCCCUUUAAUGACACGUUGUUAUAAUGUCUUGGCAGAGUUUUUGUUUCAGCUGGUUUGCAUCAUCCUGAGAAAAAUAAAGUGCGAUGGUGCAUAAGGAGUCUUAUUUCUACUUCCUUCCCCAGUAUGGACACUCUGGACCCUGCAAUUGAACUACCUUAACUCUCCGGACUAUAAGCCCUAACACUGCGGCUUAAACAAUGAUGCGGCUAAUUUAUGGAUUUUUACAGACUAUUGACUUUUCUGGUAGGCUACUGUGUCUUAUACUAGUAGCGUAUGUCUUUGAAUGGCUGUUUGCGUAUAGGUGCGUGGGGCAUGCAAGAGAGAACGCUAGCUAAUGUUGGGAGCAGUUUGAGCCUUGUCAUGUUUGGAGCGUGAGUUGGUUAUACAGGAGCUGUCAAAACUCUGUUUAUGUUCUGUUGUGCUUGGUGUGACUGUUUCUGUUUACCUCUGCUGUGGACAAGCACAAAGUGAAGGAAGCAGGUCACUAAGUCUCCCCUGUGCAUUCCAACUAUGACUGAGGCUCCAAAGCGGGAAAGAGCUAACGUGUAACCAGCCGUGUUACAGGCACGGUUCGGAAAAAAGUGAAAAAAUAGUCUCAAUCGUCUAGAAAUUACGGUAUAUUGGGAUUUGAUCAAUUUUGGAACUGAGAAAAGUAGAUGAAUGACCAAGGCUCAAACUGCUAUCGACUGAGCCACUUUGAGUACGUAUCACUUUUAGAAACAAAGGGAGUUCGAGGUUUUCCCUUUUUACCUUUUAAAGGUUUCGUAAGAGUUUGUAAUGAAUCAUGAAACUCCCAAAAUACAAACAGCAUGAAUAAAAGGCAGCUGCCGUCUGCUCUCUUCGGCACGCUUCUGCUCGUACUCCUCCGUGCAAUGGAAACCAUAACUUCUUCUCGGUAAAACGGUAACAAGUGUUCGGCCGGCGAGUCCAAGAGACUGACAGGCCUCUCGUCUGUUACCCUCCUCUGAAAUAAAUCAAACUUCAAGAGCGAGAGGGCAAUGCCUGAAGCAGGAUAUGAGAACAAACAUGUCCCUUUAAAAGCUGCCAGCCAGAGUCAAACAGAGGGAAGGAAUGUUCUGGGGGCCUUAACAGAACCAGAUGCCCCAGCUUACUCUGCUUUAACACACAUGCUUCCACUGGCCUCAACUCCUUCCCUUAGAUCUCCCUUAACUCUACAAGGGCUGGUGGGACUCUCUUCUCCUCCCAUGGGGAGUAAGCUAUCAUCUUCAUCAACUACUUGUAAUUUCCUCUGGCUUUCACUCCCCGUCUAUGCCUCCACGUCUUCGCUGUCAUGUCCAUUUGCUCGGCAGACAUUUCCCUAAACUCCGUCACAAAUGAAACUCUCGUAGCUGAAGGGAAACACCGACACGGUAUUAUUCCACUCUCUUUGUUGUACAUCCUUUUCCAAGCAGCGCUCAGUGUGCCAUGACAGUGCACGCAGCAGUCGGGGUUUGACAUUUUCACAUUUCUUCCAGGUCAGCGGCUCGUCUGUCUGGUCAGCUCCACCAGAGUCAGCCGGUGAGUGUACGGAAAAUCAAAGGGUACAGUUUCAUAGAGGAAGGCUUAGAGGCUUUUGUAUGUAGGAGUGUGUGCCGUUCUAUCCUCCUCAUUACUUUUUUUUUCCUUCUUAUCCACAGAGAUUUCCCACACCACUGCUACUAUACCUUGGUGGCCUGUUCCUGAUCCUGCUGUGCAGGAAAUCAGCCGCCCAGAUGGAGAGGAGCAGACGGCUUCUUCGAACAGGAGCCUGAUUAAAGGUGUUCUGGGUAAAAAAAAAAA